UUGCUUGGAAGCAGCCAUUCAUUCAAAGAGUGCGUAACAGCUCACCGGUCGAGCGGUCAUGCGUGGAUAAUAAUCGGGCAUAAGUCUGGUACCGAAGCUAUGGAUUGUGUACGUCAGUACACAGUGGUAGGGGAGCAUUCCCCGCGGCGUAGAAUGUGUAGCGUGAGCUAUGCUGGAGCGCGGGGAAGAGCAAAUGUAGGCAUAAGUAACGA
Molecule: ribosomal RNA, 212 nt
Filed under: Blepharisma japonicum
Lineage: Eukaryota; Ciliophora; Heterotrichea; Heterotrichida; Blepharismidae
Description: partial Bacterial large subunit ribosomal RNA
Rfam family: Bacterial large subunit ribosomal RNA
Source: RNAcentral